Molecule: long non-coding RNA, 332 nt
Organism: Rana temporaria (common frog)
Lineage: Eukaryota; Metazoa; Chordata; Amphibia; Anura; Ranidae
Exons: 2
Source: RefSeq, a predicted model, not a curated record
ACGGAGCCGCACCUGCUGCAGGUAUAUCAGGAUAUCCUCAGAUGGGUCUCUUUCUGGUCCUCUCCCUGUGUGUCCACAUGGCCGUCACAUUGUCCGCUCCGACCUCUGACCCUCCGACCUCUGACCCUCCGACCUCUGACCCUCCGGGAGACGCCGAGGCACCAGACGGUGAUCAGAUCUCCAAUGAAGCGGAUUCGGAAUACGAGACAAACGCGGACUUGGUCACGGACCGGAUCCCGAAGCAUCCGGGAGGUUUAGUAAUGGCGGGAAGUUGUCUGGCGUGCUUUUUCGGCAUGCUGUCCUUCGCCUGAGAUCUCCGGGAAUGACGCCGA